This 69-nucleotide transfer RNA is filed under the name Siphluriscus chinensis. Its description in RNAcentral is "tRNA-Ser". The record is from RNAcentral. Lineage: Eukaryota; Metazoa; Arthropoda; Insecta; Ephemeroptera; Siphlonuridae.
AGAAAUAUGUUUGAACAAAGAAAAGCUGCUAACUUUUCCCCGAGCGGUUUAAUUCCGUUAAUAUUUCUA